GGAGAGGUGGCCGAGUGGCUGAAGGCAGCGGUUUGCUAAACCGCUAAGGGGCCCUAAAACCCCUUCGCGAGUUCGAAUCUCGCCCUCUCCG
RNAcentral lists this transfer RNA (91 nucleotides) under Candidatus Kerfeldbacteria bacterium RIFCSPLOWO2_01_FULL_48_11. RNAcentral's name for it is "tRNA-Ser". It matches the Rfam family "tRNA". From Rfam's summary of the family: Transfer RNA (tRNA) molecules are approximately 80 nucleotides in length. The record is from RNAcentral. Lineage: Bacteria; Candidatus Kerfeldiibacteriota. RNAcentral also lists the same sequence under 1 other name.